Rattus norvegicus (Norway rat) is the source of this 3018-nucleotide non-coding RNA. NCBI's taxonomy places the organism in Eukaryota, Metazoa, Chordata, Mammalia, Rodentia, Muridae. The record is from RefSeq and is a predicted model, not a curated record.
GUUUCAGGAAGAGGAGGAGGCGCUUGCUGGCGUUGCCAAGGGCGCAGUGGCGCCGCGGUCCACAUGGAACCCAACCUGCAUUUCUGGAUCUCCGAACGCCAAGUACUCCGGGCCGGGUGUUGGGGCGGGAGGCUGGCCUGGGCAGAGUGACCUUGACCGGCUGCCCUGCGUCAUCGUGACUUUCCUGUCAGAGAUGGUUUUGGGCCGAGUAACUCCCCUGUACUGGGGGUGGGAAACAAACCCAAGCUCUUCAGUCCACACUCUUGCAUCUCUUACUUGGGUCCUAGACUGUGUUGGAGAAGGCCACAAAGUCACUCCCAAACGAUGGUAGGGCCUCACUAAGGAGUUCCAGUCCUCAGUAGAACGGCCCUUGACAAGCGGCACAGUGAAGAGAAAACAAGUCCUUCCAGGCUUCCUAGGCAUGCCUGGCUCAGCCAUUUAGAUUAAGACCACACUUACGCCCUGCUUUAAGCAGGUUAGAGGCUGGGAAGUCACUGUUGGGUAGUGUUUCUAGUAAUCAUAUUAAAAGGUUUUAAACAGCUAUUAAUCUUAAUGACAUAAUGAGUCCAACCAAUGCCAAAUAACAUUUCAACAUGUAAUAAAAAAUAGAUUCUACCUUUUUUUUUUUUUUUUUGGUACAAAGACUUUGAAGUCCAGUGUGUAACCCGUGCAAGCAGUCUGGCUCAGUUUCACUUCUUACAUAUCCUCAGGGGCCUCAAGGUUCUAAAUACUCUGUUAGAGGCCUUGACCUUAAACUAAGUUUAGCCCACCCUUGUUUGUGGAGAUCCAGUACUUAAGGCUGAAGCUGUUCCGAACGUGGGCAGCUUGUUGGAGCAGAACCCACCUCCUUCCCAUGUGAGCUGAGCUGUAACCCUAUCUGAGCCCUUGCUGGGUUGACUGCCUCUUAUUGUUAUAGGUAAGCCUUAUAGCAGCAGAGAAAGUCAGGCAAGAGUCCGGUGUUUCUAGGUCAUUACCUUGUGGUCAUAUGGAGAUAUGAAGAGAAAAUAUGAACCCCAAAUUCUAGGUUUUAAUUCUGAAAGGAAACUAUCCCAUGUGGUUAGAGGAGAUACAUUUGAUAAAAGUCAGACUGCCUACAGUUCUUUAGUAAGUACGCCUCCACUGAAGUGAACUGGGAUUGCCUUAAUAAGUUUCAUGUCUCUUAACUUGCUCUCUGGUGUGUCUCUUUCUCACCGUCUUCAGUCCUUCUUUCGAAGAUUUUGUCAGUGGAUGGAUUUAUUAGAUCCUGUAAACGUGUUUAUUUCAGUUGAAAGCAUAGAAAAAUCACGACAGCUGUUGUUUACUACUGAGGAUGCACCCAAACACUACCUGGAUAACCAAAGGGUUAAAGACGCAUGGAAUAAGAGUCUUUCAACUGUGCACCCUGACAGCAGCAAGUUGAUCCCCCAUCUUUUCCGACCUGCAGCUUUCCUGCCUGUGACAGCACCCAUGGUACUUCUGAUGAUGAUGCCAGACACUGGAAUAAAGUCCAUCAUUUUAACUCAGGGUUGCUUAUAUGGAUAUACCACAGCCUUUAACAUCACCAAUGGAAAUGCCAGUUAUAGUCAUGGACCAGUAGAGAGAACGUUGUUGGGAGCAGGGGUGUUUGCGUCUUCAACUUUCUUUGGAUCAAUUCCCCAUCUCUUUCAACUGAAGUAUCCCCUGAAUAACCUUUGGCUUAAAAGAUUCUUGCCAAUCAUCUUUCUUGCCCAAAUCAGCGGAAUGAAUGUUUUUGCAUCCCGCAGUUUUGAAAACCAUCGAGGAAUUGAGGUGAUGGAUAAGGAAGGCCAUGUCAUAGGCUAUUCCAGAAAAGCUGGGAGAAAGGUUUGAAACACAGCAGGGCUAUUGCUACUGCUUAUUCUUGGGUACAGAAUUGGAUUUUGUGUUUGAGAGCUUGUAACCUAGUGUCUGUCUGCUUUCUACUUUUCCUGGGCACAUCUCCUGGUCAUGCCAGAAAAAGAUACUGUGCUUUGUACCUCAUUAUUUAAGAGAUGGUGCAGUGGUGUGGAUUUGCCAGAGAAACAGAGCAAGAUGUGUGUAUGGGCAGUUAGAGAUUCUUAUCCAGGAGUUUGCUCACAGGACUGUUCGGGCUGUUGAGUUACAGCCCCAUAGAGCAAGCCUACAGGCUGGAGGCAGAUCCCACACACCAAUUGGAGGCAGAAUUGUUUCUUGGAGAACCUUGGGUUUUGUUUGUUUUCUUUUUUUUCCUCCCUUCCCCUGCUUUCUCUCUGUUCUCUUUUCUUUUCUCUCCCCUCUCUUUCUCAGUCUUUGUUUUUCUCUUUGUGUGUGUGUGUGUGUGUGUGUGUGUGUGUGUGUGUGUGUGUGUGUGUGUGUGUUGAUGUUUUGAGACAGGUUCUUGCCUAGUAUCCUAUGCUGGACUCUGAUUCCUAAUAUUCCUGUCUGAGCCUUAAGAGUGUUGGCCUUCCAGGCAUGUUUUCCACAUACUGCCCUUUCUCUGUCCCUCUUCUCCUUUCUUUCCCCUUUCCUUUGCCUCCCCUUCCUUGGUUUCCUCCCCACCCUAAUACUGGGGCUUGCACCCAAGCAAAUGCUUUUCAGGGUAAAUUUUUUGUUGUUGGAUUUUUUUGUUUCUGUUUUAUUUUACUUUGUUUUUUGAGACAAAGGUUUCUCUGUGUAGCCUUAGGCCAUCCUGGACCAGGUUGGCCUUGAACUCACAGAGAUCUGACUGCCUCUGACUGCCAGGAUUAAAGGUAUGCCCUGAUACCACCACCCUUAAUAAUUAGGGUAAUUAUUAAGAAUUUUAAUAUAAUUUAUUUAUUUUAUGUUAUGGAUGUUUUCCCUAUGUGUGUUACUCUUGGCCUGUAGAAACCAGAAGGUAUCAGAUCUCCUGGAACUGGAAGACACGAGAUCUUCUAGAGUUACAAAAGAACUGCGUAACCAGAGGUAUCUGAUUAUAAUCAGGCACCUUGGAUCAAAUUUCAGGCUAUUAAAGAAACAGCGAAGUCCAGAGCAGUGCUGUUUGGGACCUCAGCCUUGGCCCCUGAACUCUUUAUCCAUAUUUUU